GGUAGUAUUAAAAUAAAAACCCAUAUAAAAUGGCGGUCAUAACAUAUUAGAGGAACUCGCUUUAUAAUCGUAAAUACCCGAUAAUUUUCACUUAAAUUCAUAUAGCUUAUAUACCGCCGUUACAGAUUAUAUUUAAUCACACAGAUCAUAAAAUACCAACAUUAAAAAUCAGGUCAAGGUGUAGUUAAUAAUUAAGAAAAAGUAAGUUACAAUAAACAUUAUUUAAGAAUUAAAUUCAGAAGAAUAAAUGAAAAAGAAUCUAACUUCAAAUUAAAAUUAAAAACUUAAAUAGAAUACAAAGUCAAUGACGC
This 311-nucleotide ribosomal RNA is filed under the name Hoplopholcus forskali. Its description in RNAcentral is "partial 12S ribosomal RNA". The record is from RNAcentral. Lineage: Eukaryota; Metazoa; Arthropoda; Arachnida; Araneae; Pholcidae.